GAGGCUAGAUGAGCUCAGAGAGUCACAGAUGAAAGAGAAUUCCCUCCAAUAGAGGCAGAGGCACAUUCACUACCUGAAGUCUGACACUGAGAAACCAAACAGCCCUCAGAAGACCUAGAAAGUACAAAAGGACCAGGAUGUGAGCAGAAAGGAAGCGAGUGGAAGAGUAGGAGGCAGGGCUGUUACUAAAGGAACACGUGCCCGGGCAUUAACUGGAAGAUGCCCACAUGUGUCAUCACCACAUUAAACAGAGUCAACGUGUUUCUCAAGCACAAAUCUCCCACAAGUGCUUAAAAUAUCAUCAUUGCUAAACAGAGUAUGACCUCCUGGUCAUGUGAUCUUGAGCCAGCCACACUAUCAUUUUCUAAGAUCUAGCUGUGGAUCUACUGAGGCUUUGUAUUAUUAAGUUUGUGCUUCACCCUACCCCCAUUCUCCAUAGCUUACGAAUUAGUAGAAUUCCAAAAGGCCAGGGCUGGGAAAAAAAGGAGGUUUGAAAUUUUUUAGUGAGGCUGCUCUCUUUACCUCCCACCCGAGGAAACUGAGACCCAGGACUCGCCCUGCCUGGAAUCACACAGCUCAGCGCUGGCAGAGCCAGGUGGGCACUGCAUCUCUGAUUUCCUUGUCUAGAAAUGCUCCGCCAUGAUAAAAACAACAGCUUCUGUGCUUUGGCACCUCCUCGGAUGCAGACAUCAGACUUGGUGUUUAUCCAAAGGAGCAUCUCAUUUAUUCUGCAAAACAAUGUUCCAUUCAAAGAUGAGAAAUUGAAGCUCUCAGAGGUAACCAGCUACCAGGGCCACAGAGCUCAGGGCCAAGCAAGCAGAACCCUGGUGGUAUCUGUUUUGCUGAUCGCUAUUUCCAAGGGCCCUCCUCCUUCUACUCCACAGCUUCGAGGAAAGCUUCCUAAAGGAGAGGAUGGUUUCAUCAUAUUCUGUGUAACUGACACCAGAAAGAAUCCUAUCUCAUACAGCUGAGUUUAGUCCCAUUAUUGCCUGGCAUACGAGCCUCCUUCACUAUGGGAAAAUGUAAGUAAAUUUAGAUAUAUAAGCAGAAUGACCAAAUAGAUAGAUGAUAGCUAGGUAGCUGGAUAGACUGAUGGAUAUAGAACAGAUAAAAUUUAGUGUUUGUCCAUGCAUGGAGAAUAGGAUCAGAAAGAUACAUACCCAACUCUUCACAAUUAAUACUCUGGGAUGAGAAGGUGUUUCACUUUAUUAUGAUCAGCUUUUCCUGGAAUGUUUGCAUUUAAAGAUAAGCAUAUGUGACC
Molecule: long non-coding RNA, 1261 nt
Filed under: Bos indicus x Bos taurus (hybrid cattle)
Lineage: Eukaryota; Metazoa; Chordata; Mammalia; Artiodactyla; Bovidae
Description: lncRNA (ENSBIXG00005031355.1)
Source: RNAcentral